UAGUCAGCAUUCUGCCACUGUACCCGCUUUCACGGACAUCUGCUGCUGCUCACCUCGUGCCUACCCUCACAUGGAAGCCAGGCAUUGACGUCUCUCACCCCAUCUCUCUGCUCACGUGCCAUCCAUUACGGGACCCACUGACGGACCACAUGAAAGGUUUGCGUGCCACUGUCCUCCUCGACCCGGCGUAAGUUCACGACCACGUCAAAGACGAUCUCUCUGCCGAGGGUGUGCGGCGCGCGUGUGUGUCUUCGUGUUCCUCUGCGCGGACACAGAACUGAUUGCGCUGCUCUCGCCUUCCACACCGAUAUCGAUGCGUAGAUACACAACGAGCACUGGCCGCACGAGUACAUGUGCGCUCGCUACACACCACUACAUCUAAGCAAGCGUUGUGCUGCGGAACAACUGCCACAGCGAUCCGCCGACGAAGCAGGCCGUGGUGCCGCGUAAGACAAGCAUUACGGAAGGGCAUAGAAGAAAGGCGAAACGAGGCGUAGUGCCGCUCAAGGCUGCAUAUGACGGACGCUAUCAUCCACCUCACUGCGGGCACCGUGGCGGGUAUGACCGGCGUUCUCCUCGACUACCCGCUUGAUACCGUAAAGACGCGCAUGCAAGUGAGCAGGUGCGCAAAGUUGCCCUGCCGCUACAGUCCCACGGCGGUCACGGCAGCGACCAGCCUGAGCGCUGCCGCGCCGGCGACGUACUGGCAGUGCGCCUCCCAGCUCUAUCGGCGCGGCGGUAUUCGAUCAUUUUACUGCGGCCUGAGUGUGCCGCUGGCAGCCCAGGGCGCCGAGACCGCCGUUGUCUUCUCGGUCUACAACGUAUCUCUGCAGCACUUUCUGCGCAAGGAGCAGCUACAGCGCCAGGAGCAAGAGCGGGCAAGGCUGUCAGGGUGUCGGGGUGAUCACAAGGCACGAUCCCAUCGGCAUCAGCACAUGCACGGCAAACAUGAGCACCCCCAGCAGCAGCCGCAUGUGUCUGUGUGGAGCUCGCCGGCGCACUGGAAAGCCUCUGCGUGUGCGGGUCUCGCCGUGUCACUCAUCUUGACGCCGGUAGAAAUGCUCAAGUGCAACAUGCAGAUGGAGAGCGCCAGGCCGUGCUGGAGGCGGCGCCAUACGACGGCGCGCGGCCUCGCUCGUCAUCUGGUGGCGACGCACGGUUUGCGUGGUCUCUACACCGGGGUGACCGGCACUGUGACGCGUGCUGUGCUCGGCAACAUGGCGUAUUUUGUGUCCUAUGAGCAGUGCCGGGAGUGGCUGGCGCAGAAGUUUGCCUCAUCGCUGCGCGAUGGCGAAGCUGCGCCGAUUUGGCACUCCAUGCUCGCCGGCGGGAUCAGUGGGUGCUGCUACUGGAGCGUCGCCUAUCCGGCCGACGUGGCCAAGACGAAAAUGCAGGUCUGUCCGACAGCGCGACAGCAAGGCUUUACGAGGACGCUUGCUAGCUUGUACCGCAGCGGAGGAGUGGAGGCGCUGUUUCGAGGCUGGGGUGUCACGGUGGUGCGAGCAUUCUUGUCGAGCAGCAUCGUCUUCACCACCCACGAGCACAGCAGCAGCACCUUGAGGGAGCUCUCUUCCGUGUAUCGCGUGCUUGCGGGUGACAGUGCCGCGGCGUCGGCAUCGAGCGCCGCCUGUGAGCCGGAAGAGGAGCUGAUUUCUCACCGCUACUGAGGACACACAGCCCUGCCGCUUGUGGCGGUCAUGGGGCACACACACACACACACAGGGGCAUAAUGGUACUUUCAAGCUUCUUGCCCUGCUCUCUAGCGGACGAGCACCAACUCGGACCGUCCCCGCUCACUCGUGCUCCAAGCGCGCCUCUUCGACGUCGAACGAACAGCACCAGUGACUCUCUUUACCGCCCACCGCUGCCCCCUUUGGUAUCCGUAAAAGCGUUGGUGGCGCGUGUGGCGCCUCUCUUUCUCUCGUGGUCUCUGUCGCUGCUUGCGUCGGCGGCGCCUCGGGCGCACGCGGUCGUGGCCUUGAUGCGGCUGCUUGCGGCCGUGUAACAUAUCACCUGGUGCUGCUGCUGCUGCUCUUCCUGUAUGACCCUCCUCCCUUUUGUUCGCCGUGCGCCGCCUGCGCAUGUGCUUGUGCGCGUACGUGGGCUGCGGCUGCCUUCGUGACCCUCGCCGUGUCUCCGACCUCGGCCCUUCUCCGCGACAGCUCUUCUUGCCGCCUCGCCGUGGUUGUCCAGAUAUUGCUUUUCCGCUCUGAGCCUGUUCUACGUCGGCGCUUCGCAGUACUUCGUAUCUCGUUUACAUCUCUCCGAGUCUCUCGUUUUCUGCAGUGCAGCAGCCACCGCCACGCAGGGCUUCUCUUUUUCUCUGCUGUUGGUCUGCGUCCUCUUCCCCGCCACCAUUGCCCCCCCCCUCCCCCCUCGAUCCGACGAUUGGGCUGUCGCGCAAGCGGGGGGCCCCACCCCUCCUCCUCUGUGUCUCCUGUUCUCUCUCGCUCCAUCUCUCUGUCUUCACAACAAUGAAAGAGUGCCGUUGACAAGCACCAGCGAACAAACGGAAGCCGAAAUCGCUAGAGAGAGACAGGGUGGGGGGGGGGCAAAACAGCUGGAAAGACGGGCCCGAUACGCUGACCUCGCUUAUCGACACAGGCGCGUUGGGUGUGGAGGGCGACGUGAAGUGGAUUGUCUAGGGCGACCUCUGAUUACAGGUUUGUACAACGCGAUUUACGGCAGCGUUGCGCGCGCGCUUUUUCCCUGAACAUUCCCAUCUUGCGACCAUAUGUGCCCAGCGAACCCAUCUACCGAUAGACCGACAAGCCGAGAGGGGAAGCACGGUUUUGGAUAUCCACACGCAUACACAAACACUAACACACACAUAUAUAUAUAUAUGUGUGUGUGUGCAUCGGCGCACGACGCAUCCUCGCUGCUGCGACAUGAGCACCGCUGACAUCGUUAUGCUUUUUCGCGUGUGUGCCUCUCCUCCUUGCCUCUAUUUCGUUUGAGCGGUGUUUUGGGCGGGGGAGGACCGCGUCGCUGUACCGCUCUCGCUGCGCGGCUCUCACGAUGUUUGCCCGACGCCUGUCUGCUCGCCUCCCCUCUUCCGUUUCGAGCCGCUUUUGUGUCUUUCAUUACCCCGCACCUUAG
RNAcentral lists this unclassified non-coding RNA (3099 nucleotides) under Leishmania donovani. RNAcentral's name for it is "gene:LdHU3.16.0270(CDS-product:mitochondrial_orni thine_transporter_1-like_protein)". Lineage: Eukaryota; Euglenozoa; Kinetoplastea; Trypanosomatida; Trypanosomatidae. The record is from RNAcentral.